UAUAUUUAUGUAUUUAUUUUUAUUUGUUAUUAUUAUUAUUAUUAUUAUUUUUAGGAAAGCUUGACCUUCUCUUUGAUGUCCUUUCAGGUACAGAUGUCCAAAUGGAUCUUGCCCUGGAAAAAAGAGAGAGUUGACCUAUAUCAGUUGCCAUAAUGAAGCAGAAAGAAAAAAAAAAAAGUCUUAUUGAGCCCAAAUGGUGGGAGAGAGGAUUUGUCUUCCCUUGUGAAAAAGGGGUUACACUAACAAAACUCAGCAAACAAGUGCACAAACUUUCUUCAAGCUACCCUUCAAAGUACAAAUCAACACUGCACUUCAAUCAGGAAGGCUAGCUGUUCUCCCAAGGUAUGUCACUGAAUGCACACACAUGCAGUGCAGGAAUUGCACAACAUUUCAAUCUAUUGCAGGUCUCAGGUGAGGAAAGGAAAGAGGGACAAAAGAGGAAACUCUUCUAUGGGACCAUAAGGAACUUUAGAAAUAAUGCUACAUUUACUUGCAGAGAACCCCUCUCAUUCUUCAACACCAAAGUGCAUUGAGAAGUUGUCAUUUCUGAUUUCGUGUAUGCUGUAUAUUAGCUGCAUACUUGACAGAAGCUGAGGACUACAUUUGGACCUGACUACAAUAUCAACAAUUCUGAAAAUUAUACUGCAAGUCUCAAAAUAUUUGGGUUCUUCCUCAAAAAACUCAGUUCGCUGGACCAAAAUGUUUACAAGAGAGUUUAAUUUAAA
This 725-nucleotide long non-coding RNA is filed under the name Anser brachyrhynchus (Pink-footed goose). RNAcentral describes it as "lncRNA (ENSABRG00000007908.1)". Lineage: Eukaryota; Metazoa; Chordata; Aves; Anseriformes; Anatidae. The record is from RNAcentral.